GACGAACGCUGGCGGCGUGCUUAACACAUGCAAGUCGAACGGAAAGGCCUCUUUCGGGGGGUGCUCGAGUGGCGAACGGGUGUGUAACACGUGAGUAACCUGCCCUUGACUUUGGGAUAACUUCAGGAAACUGGGGCUAAUACCGGAUAGGAGCUCCUGCUGCAUGGUGGGGGUUGGAAAGUUUCGGCGGUUGGGGAUGGACUCGCGGCUUAUCAGCUUGUUGGGGGGGGAGUGGCUUACCAAGGCUUUGACGGGGAGCCGGCCUGUGAGGGUGACCGGCCACAUUGGGACUGAGAUACGGCCCAGACUUCUACGGGAGGCAGCAGUGGGGAAUAUUGCACAAUGGGUGGAAGCCUGAUGCAGCAACGCCGUGUGCGGGAUGACGGCCUUCGGGUUGUAAACCGCUUUCGCUCAUGACGAAGCUUUGUGUGACGGUAGUGGGUAAAGAAGCACCGGCUAACUACGUG
RNAcentral lists this ribosomal RNA (467 nucleotides) under uncultured bacterium. Its description in RNAcentral is "partial 16S ribosomal RNA". It matches the Rfam family "Bacterial small subunit ribosomal RNA", at positions 28 to 507 of the family's 1533-position model. The record is from RNAcentral.